GACGAACGCUGGCGGCGUGCUUAACACAUGCAAGUCGAGCGAGGCUCCUCCUUCGGGAGGAUGCCCUAGCGGCGAACGGGUGAGUAACACGUGGGCAACCUGCCCCUAGCACUGGGAUAACCCCGGGAAACCCGGGAGCUAAUACCGGAUAUGACCACGGACGGCAUCAUCUCGUGGUGGAAAGAUUUAUCGGCUAGGAGUGGGCCCGCGGCCUAUCAGCUUGUUGGUGGGGUAA
Molecule: ribosomal RNA, 235 nt
Filed under: uncultured bacterium
Lineage: Bacteria
Description: partial 16S ribosomal RNA
Rfam family: Bacterial small subunit ribosomal RNA
Source: RNAcentral